UACAGAGGUCUCGAGCGUUAGGCGGAAUCACUGGGCUUAAAGCGUGUGUAGGCGGAUCGGUAAGUACCUUGUGAAAUCCCACAGCUUAACUGUGGAACUGCUUGGUAUACUGCCAGUCUUGAGCCAGCUAGGGGCUACCGGAACAAAUGGUGGAGCGGUGAAAUGCGUAGAUAUCAUUUGGAACGCCAAUGGUGAAAACAGGUAGCUGGGGCUGUGCUGACGCUGAGACACGAAAGCUAGGGGAGCAAACAGG
This 253-nucleotide ribosomal RNA is filed under the name uncultured bacterium. Its description in RNAcentral is "partial 16S ribosomal RNA". It matches the Rfam family "Bacterial small subunit ribosomal RNA", at positions 524 to 776 of the family's 1533-position model. The record is from RNAcentral.